This is a long non-coding RNA of Oncorhynchus masou masou (cherry salmon), 738 nucleotides long. RefSeq lists it as uncharacterized. The record is from RefSeq and is a predicted model, not a curated record. The transcript has 2 exons. NCBI's taxonomy places the organism in Eukaryota, Metazoa, Chordata, Actinopteri, Salmoniformes, Salmonidae.
AACAACCCCGUUACCCCGCCCCUCAGAAUGAGGUGAAUAACUAACGAGCAAGCUAGGUUAUUCAAUGUUUUGAUUCUUGACGGACAGUGGGAGGACCUGAGCCGCAGGACCAUGCCUCAUACCUGGCAUGAUAACUUCUUGCUGUCCCUAAUCCGGCUAGCCGUGCUGCUGCUCCAGUUUCAACUGUUUUGCCUGCGGCUAUGGAACCUUGACCUGUUCACCGGACGUGCUACCUGUCCCAGACCUGCUGUUUUCAACUCUCUAGAGACAGCAGGAGCGGUAGAGAUACUCUUAAUUAUUGGCCAUGAAAAGCCAACUGACAUUUACUCCUGAGGUGCUGACUUGUUGCACCCUUGACAACUACCGUGAUUAUUAUUAUUUGUCCAUGCUUGUCAUUUAUGAACAUUUUAACAUCUUGGCCAUGUUCUGUUAUAAUCUCCAACCAGCACAGCCAGAAGAGGACUGGCCACCCCUCAUAGCCUGGUUCCUUCCUAGGUUUUGGCUUUUCUAGGGAGUUUUUCCUAGCCACCGUGCUUCUACACCUGUAUUGCUUGCUGUUUGGGGUUUUAGGCUCGGUUUCUGUACAGCAGUUUGAGAUAUCAGCUGAUGUAAGAAGGGCUAUAUAAAUCAAUUUGAUUUGACUGUUGGUUAAGGGCUUGUAAGUAAGCAUUUCACAGUAAGGUUUACAAUUGUUGUAUUCGGUGCAUGUAACAAAUAAAGUUUGAUUUUGUCUAUUAA